Molecule: ribosomal RNA, 753 nt
Filed under: uncultured Actinomyces sp.
Lineage: Bacteria; Bacillati; Actinomycetota; Actinomycetes; Actinomycetales; Actinomycetaceae
Description: bacterial SSU rRNA
Rfam family: Bacterial small subunit ribosomal RNA
Source: RNAcentral
GACGAACGCUGGCGGCGUGCUUAACACAUGCAAGUCGAACGCUGAAGCUCAGCUUUUGUUGGGUGGAUGAGUGGCGAACGGGUGAGUAACACGUGAGUAACCUGCCCUCUUCUUUGGGAUAACGCCCGGAAACGGGUGCUAAUACUGGAUAUUCACUGAUCUUCGCAUGGGGGUUGGUGGAAAGGUUUGUUCUGGUGGGGGAUGGGCUCGCGGCCUAUCAGCUUGUUGGUGGGGUGAUGGCCUACCAAGGCUUUGACGGGUAGCCGGCCUGAGAGGGUGACCGGUCACAUUGGGACUGAGAUACGGCCCAGACUCCUACGGGAGGCAGCAGUGGGGAAUAUUGCACAAUGGGCGAAAGCCUGAUGCAGCGACGCCGCGUGAGGGAUGGAGGCCUUCGGGUUGUAAACCUCUUUCGCUCAUGGUCAAGCCGCAACUGUGGGUUGUGGUGAGGGUAGUGGGUAAAGAAGCGCCGGCUAACUACGUGCCAGCAGCCGCGGUAAUACGUAGGGCGCGAGCGUUGUCCGGAAUUAUUGGGCGUAAAGGGCUUGUAGGCGGUUGGUCGCGUCUGCCGUGAAAUUCUCUGGCUUAACUGGGGGCGUGCGGUGGGUACGGGCUGACUUGAGUGCGGUAGGGGAGACUGGAACUCCUGGUGUAGCGGUGGAAUGCGCAGAUAUCAGGAAGAACACCGGUGGCGAAGGCGGGUCUCUGGGCCGUUACUGACGCUGAGGAGCGAAAGCGUGGGGAGCGAACAGG